This 7555-nucleotide long non-coding RNA is filed under the name Homo sapiens (human). RNAcentral's name for it is "non-protein coding lnc-SLC35F5-3:12". Lineage: Eukaryota; Metazoa; Chordata; Mammalia; Primates; Hominidae. The record is from RNAcentral.
AGUUCUGCUUCUGAAGCUGGAAGGGGCUUUUCGGUUGUAACCCUUGGGUUAGUUUCAGUUACUUCUUUGCUAGGUUGAGGAAAGGGUGGAAGCGCCUCCUGCAGCCACGAAUAUCCUCCAGUGCCUGAGAGAAAACGGCCUAAUCGAAAACGUCCGCGGCAUACAUCCAUUCUUAAAACUUGAGUGGCUGCUUUUCUGGGUGGAAAAGAGCGGUAUCAGACAGGAUAAGUGCCCUCUGUGUACCAAAAAGGAAUGUACUGUUUAUAGAGACUUCAAAUCAGCAGAAAAUUCAAAUAGUUAUAACUUUUCUUUAUAAUCCAUCAUGAAAAAGAGUAACGACAAAUAAGAGUGCAGUGGUGCAGUCAUGGCUCACUGCAGCGUCUGCCUCCUGGACUCAAAGAAUCCUCCUACCUCAGCCUCCCAAGUAGCUAGGACCACAGGUAUGUACCACCACACCCAGUUAUUAUUAUUAUUUUUUUUCACAGAGACAGGAUCUCACUAUGUUGCCCAGGCUGGUCUCCAACUCCUAGGCUCAAGCGAUCUACCUGCCUCAACCUCCCAAAGUGCUGGGAUUACAGGCAUGUGCCACUGGGCCUAGCCUGGCAUUACUCUUACAAAGGAUACACCACGAGUUGUGCUCUCCUGCAGCGUUUUGCGGACGGCUGGCUAUCUUACCCAGAAUCAAUCACACUGGGACACUGAAAAAAAAAAAAAAGGAAAAAAGAGCGAGGGAGUAAUUCUAGCCUGUUUUUACAAGAACACAGUGGCUAUAGACAGUGCCAGUGUGAAGAUGACUCAGCAAACGUGGAGAACCAAAGAUUCUAGGGCAGCACCAAAACUGGGAAAGCAAUUACAGCAGAAGUUGCCUUCCCCAUGGUAGCUUAGCAACUUCGUGUCUCUCCAAGGCAGAGAGGAAAAUCAAGUCUAACAGGCCUUCCCGAAGGCUAGGUGUGAAAUACCAGAAGCCAUCUUUGUUUCUGGCGAUGUCACUAAAUAAGUAUUUGUUGAUAUAAAGUAUUACACAUCUGUUCUCCCACAUUUCAGCUAAAUUGCCAAAAGUUAACCCUUUCUGGAGAUCCAGAAUGGAGCAAUAUACCUAGCUCUCAUUCAUUAUUUCCCUUGCUGAUAUUCUUGCAUAGCUUUUAGUUUAUGCAUUUGUCCCAAAUAAACCUAGAAAAAGCCACUUGUCGUAGGACAAGAUGAGCUGAUGAUUUGAAUCACUCCCCCACUGAGGAAGAAACCAUCUGUGGAAAAGACUGUAUAAGGUACUUCCUGGUUGAACGGUAGGGCUCUGGAGUCAGAAGUCUUGAAUUUGAAUCCCAGCCCUGAAAUGUAUCAGCUGUGUGCCCUUAGCUAAGAAAUCACAAGCUCAUCAUGUGAAGAGGAAGAGUUUGGCAGCUCAUCUUAAAUUGUAAUUAUCUUCUUUGCAUGAAUCCUGGAGAAAAGGUCUGCAUAUCAGUUUAUUUUUAUAAAACCGUCUGGUUCUGCUGAUGGUAAGACAUCACUUGGAUGAGCUACACAGAAGCUAAGGAACUGUCAGGGUAGGCCCACAUCAUUGGUAUUGCUAUUGAGAUGUAACUUCUUUUGCAUAAAGCUUUGCUACUACUAUUUGUUCACUUCCUUUAUAGUUUCUUGGAUAGAAUGUAGGAGCCUGAAUAAAAUUCCUGGAGAAGGAAUUUUCUUUUCCUUUUUCUUUUUUGGGGGAAGUGAGGGUGGGGAGGGGCUGGGUCUCACUCUGUCACCCAGGCUAGAGCGUAGUGACACCAUUACAGGCCACUGCAGCCUUGACCUCCUGGGCCCCACCUCAGCCUCCUGAGUAGCUGGGACUACAGGCAUGCACCACCAUGCCUGGCUAAUUAUUGAAUUUUUUGUUGAGAUGGGGUCUCCCUAUAUCGCCUGGGCUUGGACCUACUUUCUGAUGGUCAUUGUCUCUGGGGUUCCCCAAACUCAAAACAUUAAUGUAUCUCAUUGUAAAAGAAAAUAUGUAUUUUCAAAAGCAUUGGUAGCUGAUUAUAAAUGGAUGUUAUAUCUUCCCUGUGGAACACAAGUAAUUUAGUUUUGAUGGAUAAAAUGACAAUCCUUUAAUAUUAUAUUGCUUAUUCUGAUAGAUCGGAUUUGAGGUUGGGUAUAUUUAUAAAUUUUAUUAAAUGGAUGUUUCAGAGAGCUGUGAUUAAGAUUCUAGGACAUUUUUUAGCCGGGGAAGCACAUAGAAUCUUGAAAGUCUUCAUCUCUCGUGAACACUUUUUAUCAAUAGUUUUAAUUUCAGGUUAGAAUUUAUGAUUUACUUAAUCUCUGCUUGUUGGCAGGAAUUCUAUUUAUAUUAUAUAUUUUUUCUUUUUCUUUUUCUUCCUGGCUUGUCUUCAGUACGAUAUACUCUAAAUUUUGCUGUAAAUUUCCAGCAUGGUGCUAAUAUUUGGGUGAGACAGAAUUUCACCAGUGGGAUGUGUUUUCUGGUGCUUUUAAACCUGAAUUAUGAUUUAUUGUCAUGAAUUGUUUCUGGACUCUGGUAACUCUUCCAAGGUGGGUAAAGGCAGCAUUGAGCCCCAGGACACCAGGGGAAGACAUAGAAAUCUAUUUCCUAUGGCAGAAGAGAUUGUAAUCACUUCUGCCCGCCGUGGCCUUUUGGUUACAGGAAUCAAUACAAACAGCAGCUCUCCACGGUCCAUUUGCUUUAUCGGUGGCCCUCGGGUGAGCAAUCAUCUCAAUUUGCCUGGCACUGUGGGGAUUCCCCAGAGGGACUUGGGACUAUUUUCCCAGUUUUUUUUUUUUUCAAUUUUAGAAAUCCUAUUGGUUUGCAGUGGUGCCCCACUGUGGUUUUGAUUUGCAUUUCCCUGAUGACCACUGAUGUUGAGCAUCCUUUUACAUGCUUGCUGACCACUUGUAUGUCUUUUUUGGAGAAACGUGUAUUCAAGCUGUCUUCCUUAUAGCUAAAUAAAAUCAAACAAAAUCCCACCUCACAUAAGGUGAAGUUUCCAGCUGUAGAGCGAAUGAACUUUUAGGUCACCUGAGCAACCCCUUUUCUGACAUGUCUGAGAUAAAUUAAUCUUCUGAUGACAGCACAAUUGUCAUGGGACUUAUCUCAGGUCCAAGUGUUGUGCAGUGAGGUGAUAAACAGAUCCAGAGUGCUUCACCCAGCAACUCCACUCAACUUUUGUAAUAGGUUGGAUUUUGAGUUCCUGCAGAACAGGUAAGAUGCCAGUCAACCUGGCCCUUGGUCCUUCACUCAUGGGUCAGUCCAAGCAUGUAGUACAAUUAUUCCUCCAGUGGCAAGUCAGCAAGAGGGGGCAGAUGAGGUCAGCUACAGACAGGAUAAGAGAAAGCAGGAGAAGCCUAUUGUCCACCAUUGCAAUUUUAAUUGGCUACAUUUGAAGCUGGUAGGAAUACAGACCACUGAGUGCCCUGGAGGAGGCAGUGCUUUAAGCCAUUUUUGUUCAAUCACUUCCUAUGAUUUAGUUUAUUGGCUUAGUAGAAAACAUUAUGAGGGCCGGGUGUGAUAGCUCACGCCUGUAAUCCCAGCACUUUGGGAAGCCGAGGUGGGUGGAUCACCUGAGGUCAGGAGUUCAAGACCAGCCUGACCAACAUGGUGAAACCUUGUCUCUACUAAAAAUACAAAAUUAGCCAGGCAUGGUGGCGGGCGCCUAUAAUCCAAGCUACUUGGGAGGCUGAGGCAGGAGAAUCUCUUGAACCCAGGAGGUGGAGGUUGCAGUGAGCUGAGAUCGCACUAUUGCACUCCAGCCUGGGCAACAAGAGCGAAAUUCAGUCAGAAAGAAAGAAAGAAAGAAAGAAAGAAAGAAAGAAAGAAAGAAAGAAAGAAAGAAAGAAAGAAAGAAAGAAAGAAAGAAAGAAAGAAAGAAAGAAAGAAGGAAGGAAGGAAGGAAGGAAGGAAGGAAGGAAGGAAGGAAGGAAGGAAGGAAGGGGAAAGAAAACAUUAUGGAAUACUGAGUAAACAAGUUCAAGCAGGGCACAGUGGCUCACACCUGUAAUCCCAGCACUUUGGGAGGCGGGCAGAUCACGAGGUCAAGAGAUCAAGACCAUCCUGGCCAACAUGGUGAAACCCUGUCUCUACUGAAAAUACAAAAAUUAGCUGGACGUGGUGGCACGUGCCUGUAGUCCCAUCUACUCGGGAGGCUGAGGCAAGAUAAUCACUGGAACCCGAGAGGCGGAGGUUACAGUGAGCCGAGAUCAGGCCACUGCACUCCAGCCUGGCCACAGAGUGAGAUUCCGCCUCAAAAAAAAAAAAAAAAAAAAAAGUUCAGAUGUGUGGGGAGGAAAUAGGAAAUGUCCUGGAAUAGUGAGUGAUGGAUGAGUCUUAUCGGGAAAAGCUUUAGGGGACUAGAGGUGGCGUAAAAGGACUGGGCCACAUUUCAAGGGAGAGAAGGGAUGCAGGGGUAUUGUGGCCAUUGCCUAUUUCUUCUUUUUUUUUUUUUGAGACGGAGUCUCACUCUGUUGCCCAGGCUAGAGUGCAGUGGCAUGAUCUUGGCUCACUGCAACCUCUGCCUCCUGGGUUCAAGCUAUUGUCCUGCCUCAGCCUCCCAAGUAGCUGGGAUUACAGGCACGUGCCACCACGCCCGGCUAAUUUUUUUGUAUUUUUAGUAGAGAUGGGGGUUUCACCACGUUGGCCAGGCUGGUCUCGAACUCCUGACCUCCGGUAAUCUGCCUGCCUCGGCCUCCCAAAGGCCGAGGAUUACAGGCUGGGGUUACAGGCACGUGCCACCACGCCCAGGUAUGGCCAUUGUCAAAUCCUGUUUCUUUCUCACUCACCCAGACUGCAGACUAACACAGGUCUUGUCAGACAAUCCCUUACCAGGCCGCUCCAACGCGAGGAAAGGUAAGGUAGGAAGAAGCUGCGUUUAGAGGGAGGGGACUUGUGGGAAUGAUGCACCAAUAAUACACAAAGGCUUCAUUAGGGCACAUCAAUCCAGGAGUCCUUCACUUUAUAGUGUCCUUUAGGAACUUCUCCUGGGACUGAAUUCCUCUGGGCUAGGAUAGUCUGAGCUUUAGGGCAGCCCAGGAACUUCUUGGAAGAAGUGAAAGGCUCUUGAGUCUGUCAGUAUUUGUUUCCUUGCUCUUACAUACACAGUGCAAGAGUGCAUUCCCAAUACAUGCAACUCUUGAACUGUAACAAUGAUAAUGAUGGGUUGAAAGCUUACAAUAUUACAAAUGUCUCUAGUUUCCCCAGAAAUUUUUCUGUAAUUUGCUUUCCGUUUCUCCGUUGAUAUUUUGAAACCCUUAAAGAAAAGCCACUUGCACACUGGAUUUUGUUUCUGUUAGUAUAGAUCCUUCAAAUGACAACCUAGUGACAAAUGGAACUCUAGGACCUAAGAUCCAGGAUCUUACCCCUUCUCUCUCUCUCUUUUUUUUUCUUUUGAGACGGAGUCUUGCUCUGUCACCCAGGCUGGAGUGCAGUGGCACAGUCUUGGCUCACUGAAACCCCUGCCUCCUGGGCUGAAAUCAUCUGCCUCAACCUCCCGAGUAGCUGGGAUUACAGGCGUGCACCACCAUACCUGGCUAAUUUUUGUGUUUUUAGUAGAAAUGAGGUUUCAUCAUAUUGGCCAGGCUGGUCUUGAACUCCUGACCCCAGGUGAUCCACCCGCCUCAGCCUCCCGAAGUGCUGGGAUUACAGUUGUGAGCCACUGCACCCGGCCCCCCUUCUCCUUUUGAAUAUUAAUUCACAAGGCUUCUUCCUGUUGGCUACACCAAACAAAAUUGUAUCUAUUCUGUUUUUGUUUUUGUUUUUGUUUUUGUUUUUGUUUUCCAGUUUAGAAAACAUGGCCCUUUUAGCUGUAAUUAUAUGGCUGGAAGAAGAAACAAAGUUGUGAGCUGCAAUGGAGCUGAAUGUUUUUGUCCCCCCACCAAUCCCCCUCAAAAAACUCAUAGGUUGAAAUCCUAACCCCCAGUGUAAUAGAAAAUGGGGCUUUUGGGAGGUAAUUAGGUCAUGAGGGUAGAGCCCUCAUGGAGGGAUUAAUGACCUUAUAAAAGAGACUCCAGAAAGCUAGCUUGUCCUAUUUCUGCCAUGUGAGGACACAACAAGACAGUAGUCAUGUGCAGCCCAGAAGAGGGUCCGCACCAGAACCCAACCAUGCUGGGACCCUGAUCUCAAACUGGCAACCUGCAGAACUCUAAGAAAUGCCUCCUGUUUAUAAGCCACCAGUUUAUGGGACUUUGUUAUAAGCAGCCCAAGCUAAGGCAUAUGGGCAAUGAAAAUAUCAGAAUUGUUUGAAACUUUAAUCUAUUGUAAUAACUCCUUUCACAUUGUGUAUAAUACGUCGGUUUAACAAUAUGUAAUAAAAUUUUAAAACAAGGCAUCUAUUCCAAGAAUUAAUUAAUUAUAUUAAUUGAACAGACACUUACUAAUUCAUUCAACAAAUUGCUGAACACCUGAUAUGUGCCAGAUAUUUUUCUAGGUGCUGGAGAUACAGCAGUGAAAACAAAGAGCAAACCCUGACCCUUGUGAAGUGAAUUGUCAGGAGCUCAGCUGAGCUGGGAGAGAGAGAGCUCUCAGAGUAGCCGGUUACAGCAACAAGCCAGAGAUAAAAGAACCGAGCCUUUAAUCACUCACGGCAAUGGUAAAAGCAAGAGCUUAAAGCAGUUUUAUGGACCCUGAAGCAGGAGGGCAGCGGCGAGAGCUUGGAGUGGACAAGUCCUGGGUGAUGAGUCAGAGUAGGGGAAUGUAUCAUCAAGGUCUCCCUCCUCCCCGCAUAAGGAGGUCUUGGCAAAGGCAUCUGAAAAGGACGUCUACCCAAGGUCUGCCAGAGACUAGCAAUGAAGACUCUGGGGCCAGGAAUGUAAACAUAGGAAAAGCAUGACUGACCGGGAGAGCCUGAGUCCUUGACUGCAACUUCCUUCAGAGACCGUGACCCACUGGCUGUGCACCAAAUGUCUCUCAGAGAGCAGCAGCUUUCUGUAUGAGGUCUGCCAGGUAAGGCCUUCGUAAUUGCCUGUAGUCAGGUCUGAAAGAUCACACAUUUGGCUUAAGCAAAAGCCAGACUCCUCACUAACAUUCUAGAUAAUAAAUAUUCAAGCCAAAUAUAUGCUAUAUUAGUGGUAAGUGCUGACAAAAAAGGUAAAUAAAUAAAUAAGCAAGCAAGCUGGGAAGGCAGAUAGGGAGUAAAUGAGAGUUAGGGAGUACAAGUGUGAUAGCAAUUUGAGUCAAAGGCAGGCAAACGAGGCUUCAUUGUAAAGGUGGCAUUUGGUGAAACACUUCAGAAAUUGAGACUUGCAGCUACCCAAGAGAAGAGCAGGUCAAUCAGAGGGUACAAGAGGUAAAAAUUUCAGGAGGUGGAAGUCCGUUUGUCUAGAGUGGAGCAAGCAAAGGGAGAGGGGCAGGGGUGAUGGAGACAGAGAGCUAAUGAGGCACCAGGUCUUGCAGGGCCCUGUAGCCACUGCAAGAACAUGAACUUUUUCUCUGGGUGAGACGGGAAGCCACUGAGGACUUUGCAGAAAUAACAUGCUCUGACUCUAGAUGCCCUCCUGAGAAUAGAUUUGGGAGAGAAGAGGAGAGGAUGUUAAGGACAGAAGCAGGGAGAUCUGUUAGGAGACUACUGUAAUAAUCCAG